UAGGGAAUCUUCGGCAAUGGACGAAAGUCUGACCGAGCAACGCCGCGUGAGUGAAGAAGGUUUUCGGAUCGUAAAACUCUGUUGUUAGAGAAGAACAAGGACGUUAGUAACUGAACGUCCCCUGACGGUAUCUAACCAGAAAGCCACGGCUCACUACGUGCCAGCAGCCGCGGUAAUACGUAGGUGGCAAGCGUUGUCCGGAUUUAUUGGGCGUAAAGCGAGCGCAGGCGGUUUCUUAAGUCUGAUGUGAAAGCCCCCGGCUCAACCGGGGAGGGUCAUUGGAAACUGGGAGACUUGAGUGCAGAAGAGGAGAGUGGAAUUCCAUGUGUAGCGGUGAAAUGCGUAGAUAUAUGGAGGAACACCAGUGGCGAAGGCGGCUCUCUGGUCUGUAACUGACGCUGAGGCUCGAAAGCGUGGGGAGCAAACAGG
This 429-nucleotide ribosomal RNA is filed under the name Gemmatimonadota bacterium. RNAcentral's name for it is "Gemmatimonadetes bacterium partial 16S ribosomal RNA". It matches the Rfam family "Bacterial small subunit ribosomal RNA", at positions 355 to 776 of the family's 1533-position model. Lineage: Bacteria; Pseudomonadati; Gemmatimonadota. The record is from RNAcentral.